UUUAAAGAAAUCAAUUAGUACCCUUGCUUUAAACAAGACCAUUUCUUAAAAAUAAAUAAAAAUAAAUAAAAAAUAAUAAACAAGAGCAUUUCUUGACCACCACAGAAUAUUUAUUUCUCAAAGUGUAAACCAUCUAGUGAGAAUAAGACUCUCGUGGUUAUGCGGAUGGUGAUGCCUCCAGAGCAGAGUGGUGCGUGCUCCUCACGUGGCUGUUGUAAUGACACCUGAAAUGGGCAGAGCAGAGAAGCUGACCCAUCCUUGUCAACAAGCCAGCACAUCAAUCAGAUUCUAACCCUAAACCACGAGGAUUUUCACUUCCUCUGGGCUCCAAUCUUCUCCUCUUCGGAACAGUGUAGGACGCCUCUCUUAAAACACGAAGUGACUCCCUCAUCAGCAUCACUGUCACAGAGUUUUGGAGGGUGACCUAAUUUCACAAAGAAUCGUAGCAUCCUCGCUGUUACUUGCACUCUGAGCAUAUGAAAUUUGGCCCCAUGCUAAUGUAUUCCAAUUCACAAACAAAGGAGCCUGCCCAUGCCGCAUGGGCUGCUGAAGCUUGCAAGCAGUUAAAGCCCACGGUGAGCUCAGGUCAAAGGGAAUGGGGGGUGAGGGUCCCUCUAAAUACCUCUGUGCAGUAACAGCAUGGACGUGACUGGUGGUUCCAAAGGCUCUUUGUGUGUCUGUCCACAGCUGGAGGGGGAGCGGCAUGCCAUCAUCGACAGGGACACCCGCCUGCUGCUGGAGAAGUUGUCCUGCAUCCUGAGGACCAGGGGACAGACUGAGAGCAGAAACAACUGCACCCAGAAGAGUGGUCGUUUGGAAAUGCAGAAACGUGCCUCACAUCCAUUCUGUGGCUCCCCAUUGCCUUCAAGGGGGAAAAGAGAACAGGAACUCCACAGAGUGCAAGGAGAAAACAAAACCGUUCUGGAAAGGACCAGAAACCCAGAGCCAUCAUCACACAGAGCCCAG
RNAcentral lists this long non-coding RNA (966 nucleotides) under Ursus maritimus (polar bear). Its description in RNAcentral is "lncRNA (ENSUMAG00000020729.1)". The record is from RNAcentral. Lineage: Eukaryota; Metazoa; Chordata; Mammalia; Carnivora; Ursidae.